UACCACCCUUGCCACGUCCUGG
RNAcentral lists this unclassified non-coding RNA (22 nucleotides) under Mus musculus (house mouse). RNAcentral's name for it is "oocyte_clustered_small_RNA363". Lineage: Eukaryota; Metazoa; Chordata; Mammalia; Rodentia; Muridae. The record is from RNAcentral.